ACGUCGACACCUACGGAGGCAGCAGUGGGGAAUAUUGCACAAUGGGGGAAACCCUGAUGCAGCGACGCCGCGUGAGCGAAGAAGUAUUUCGGUAUGUAAAGCUCUAUCAGCAGGGAAGAAACUGACGGUACCUGACUAAGAAGCACCGGCUAAAUACGUACCAGCAGCCGCGGUAAUCUGAGCGGGCUGGCAAGGC
RNAcentral lists this ribosomal RNA (196 nucleotides) under uncultured bacterium. RNAcentral describes it as "partial 16S ribosomal RNA". It matches the Rfam family "Bacterial small subunit ribosomal RNA", at positions 329 to 539 of the family's 1533-position model. The record is from RNAcentral.